This 515-nucleotide ribosomal RNA is filed under the name uncultured Pseudomonadota bacterium. RNAcentral describes it as "bacterial SSU rRNA". It matches the Rfam family "Bacterial small subunit ribosomal RNA", at positions 366 to 896 of the family's 1533-position model. The record is from RNAcentral. Lineage: Bacteria; Pseudomonadati; Pseudomonadota.
GCUCAAUGGGCGAAAGCCUGAAGCAGCAACGCCGCGUGUGUGAUGAAGGCCUUCGGGUCGUAAAGCACUUUUCUGGGAGAUAAGAAAGGACAGUAUCCCAGGAAUAAGUCUCGGCUAACUACGUGCCAGCAGCCGCGGUAAAACGUAGGAGGCGAGCGUUAUCCGGAAUCACUGGGCGUAAAGCGCGUGUAGGCGGCCGGGCAAGUCGGGUGUGAAAUCCCGAGGCUCAACCUCGGAACUGCACUCGAAACUGCUCGGCUCGAGUCCCGGAGAGGGUGGCGGAAUUCCCGGUGUAGGGGUGAAAUCCGUAGAUAUCGGGAGGAACACCAGUGGCGAAGGCGGCCACCUGGACGGUGACUGACGCUGAGACGCGAAAGCGUGGGGAGCAAACAGGAUUAGAUACCCUGGUAGUCCACGCCGUAAGCGGUGAGUGCUAGACGUCGCGGGUAUUGACCCCCGCGGUGUCGCAGCUAACGCGUUAAGCACUCCGCCUGGGGAGUACGGCCGCAAGGCUA